AUCCUGGUGAUCCAGAUGCACACUGUGCUAACCCCACACAACAGUGAAACAUAACAAGUUGAGGCUGUCCUUAACUGGCCAAGGUGCUGCAUGUCAAGAGGAAGUACACCAUUCAAACAUGACUUGCCUGGGGGUCAUCUGAGCCUGUGGAAUUGUUUCAGCUUGUAACUCACUGCUGUGUCUUGCUUCUGCCAUUUGCUUCCAAAUAAGCAGCUAAGAGGACAAUUUAAUUUGCUCAUGCAGCUGCCCUGAAUCCAGGCACGUUCCAGAUGCAAGCAAGCCAAAGUUCUCUAUCUGACCUCAAUCUACACCUUCCUAGAGGGAAAUAAGGAAGCUCUGCAACUGACACUCCUGACUGUAAGAAACUAAAGUGUGCCACAAGCAUUUCUCUACCUGUCUUAGUAGCCGGGGAGAAGAGAAAGUUUCUGCCUCGUGGAAGAAAGUGAGCACAGCUAAAGCCUUGUUAAACACAGAGAGACACUUGCUACCUUUCAGCUUUCUCCCUGUGAUUUGGCACCAAUUCAUUCUGCCCACACAAUUUCUCCAGUGUGACUUGGCUUUGCAAAAAGCUCCUUAAUCCACCACAGAAAGGUUUUAAUGCAAUUGCAUCCAGCACAGUCCUAUUUGACUUGAUUUAAAUGAGAGAGUUAAAUCUCAGUCUAGACAGAGUGCUCUCUAGCUCCUGUGGAUCUUGUACCCAGCAAGCUGUGUACUCAUCUCUGAGUAUGUUUCUCAUUUUCCAGACGAGCCCAGGGGAUCUGCACACCCCCUCCAUAAAAUUCCUGUCUGUGCUAAAUUGCCUCAUCGUCCUGAUUUAUACCUCAAUAAAACAUAUCAGGAGAAGGAGAAAAUAAGUUUAAUUGCAUAACUGACAUACGUAUGCAGGACGCAUUUUUGGUGGUUCUUUAUGCACUUAUCUUCUUUAAAGGGGUAUAAAGAACCAUGACUUUCACGUAUAGUGGGAACAGCAAAAAGUGAGGAGAAUAAAUGUAAGGAGCAAGGAGUAAACCCUAAACAAGUCUGGCUUCUGGAAAAGGACCUCUGUUAAAGGAUUCACUGAAAAAUAUGAAGAGAUGCAUUUGGGAUUUUAGGGGAUUUCAAUAAAAACAUGGAGAUUCCUUCUGUCCUUUAUUAAACCAAACUAUUUGGACUAUUUGAUGUUGAAAGUUGGAAAGCGUUUCAUUUUUUAAAACAGUAACAAGUGGAAAAAAGUCUUUUAUGUUGCUUAUGAAAUCAUCAAUUCCAAGCUCUUAUUUGAUUUCUUUCGCCCAGACCCCUUUCAAAGUUGCACUGUGGUUUUCUUUUAAAAUAGUUUCUCAAGAAUGAAUACAGUGCUGGAGACUGGGACAGGUAUGCAAGCCUGGCUUCAGGUUUGGGCUGUGAAGUUUCUACUGGCAACCAUGUCCUACUGACAGGCACUCUGGAAGCACCUUAAAUGAGUGUUCAAGCAGCACAUGCAAGAUAAGAUGACUCCAGGAGGAUUGGAAAUGGGUUCAUUACUGGGAGACCAGCAUGAUUUAUUUAAUUACAUCAUAAAUGGACUUCCUUAUCUUUUCUAUCACCCAUGUAAGGAUGUAGCUGCUAUGACUGUUCUUUGGGUGUGAAAGCUAAAGAGCAAAGUUAAGAUUGUAGUUCAGCUCUAAUUUGGUCUCAUUACUGAUAAAGUGUUUAUUAUGGCAUGGAGUUUGUCCUUUGUUCUGCAUGACUUGAUUCUUGCCUCAAGGGUCAUCUAGACUUCAAAUGCUGGAGAGUAGGUGUGUGGUAAUGCACAGACAUGCCUAUAUGUUUGUGUGUUAGGCUGACAGAAAGAGGAAAUACUUCAUUAAACAUGUAGGUCAGCAGCAUUCUUAAUCUCCUUUUCUUUCACUGUUUGUGCCCUGUGGUGUUGCCCUCUGCAGAGAAAUUUGUCUGCUGUGGUGCUGUGGACCAGCAAAUGGGGAGUGUGAGUUUGGGAACUUGUGAAGGUUUUGGAGUGGUGGGGUACAAGGCCUCCUGAAGUGUCUUAGACUGUCUAUAGGAGAUAGUCAAUUUUUCCUGUUGACAUUUAGAACUUUCCCUUAAAUAUGAAAAA
Parus major (Great Tit) is the source of this 2071-nucleotide long non-coding RNA. RefSeq lists it as uncharacterized. The record is from RefSeq and is a predicted model, not a curated record. The transcript has 3 exons. NCBI's taxonomy places the organism in Eukaryota, Metazoa, Chordata, Aves, Passeriformes, Paridae.